GAGGGUAUAGCUCAGUGGUAGAGUGCAUGCCUAGCAUGCAUGAGGUCCUGGGUUCAAUCCAUAGUACCGCCA
This 72-nucleotide transfer RNA is filed under the name Camelus bactrianus (Bactrian camel). It matches the Rfam family "tRNA". Rfam says of the family: Transfer RNA (tRNA) molecules are approximately 80 nucleotides in length. Their secondary structure includes four short double-helical elements and three loops (D, anti-codon, and T loops). Lineage: Eukaryota; Metazoa; Chordata; Mammalia; Artiodactyla; Camelidae. The record is from Rfam by way of RNAcentral. RNAcentral also lists the same sequence under 1 other name.